Molecule: ribosomal RNA, 440 nt
Filed under: uncultured bacterium
Lineage: Bacteria
Description: partial 16S ribosomal RNA
Rfam family: Bacterial small subunit ribosomal RNA
Source: RNAcentral
CCUACGGGCGGCAGCAGUGGGGAAUAUUGCACAAUGGGGGAAACCCUGAUGCAGCGACGCCGCGUGAGUGAAGAAGUAUUUCGGUAUGUAAAGCUCUAUCAGCAGGGAAGAAAAUGACGGUACCUGAUUAAGAAGCCCCGGCUAAAUACGGUCCAGCAGCCGCGGUAAUACGGAGGGGGCAAGCGUUAUCCGGAUUUACUGGGUGGAAAGGGAGCGUAGACGGCAGCACAAGUCUGGAGUGAAAUGCCGGGGCUUAACCCCGGAACUGCCUUUGAAACUGUUCAGCUAGAGUGCAGGAGAGGUAAGUGGAAUUCCUAGUGUAGCGGUGAAAUGCGUAGAUAUUAGGAGGAACACCAGUGGCGAAGGAGGCUUACUGGACUGUAACUGACGUUGAGGCUCGAAAGCGUGGGGAGCAAACAGGAUUAGAUACCCCAGUAGUC